RNAcentral lists this ribosomal RNA (244 nucleotides) under uncultured bacterium. RNAcentral's name for it is "partial small subunit ribosomal RNA". It matches the Rfam family "Bacterial small subunit ribosomal RNA", at positions 26 to 285 of the family's 1533-position model. The record is from RNAcentral.
AGAAUCAACGCUGGCAGCGCGCUUAACACAUGCAAGUCGAGCGAGAAAGCGGAGCAAUCCGUGAGUAAAGCGGCGUACGGGUGAGUAACACGUGGAUGAUCUACCUUUUAGUGGGGGAUAACCCUGGGAAACCGGGGCUAAUAUCGCAUAAGCCUGAGAAGGGAAGCAGUAAUGCGCUGAAAGAGGAGUCCGCGGCCGAUUAGCUAGUUGGUGAGGUAACGGCUCACCAAGGCGAUGAUCGGUA